This 467-nucleotide ribosomal RNA is filed under the name uncultured bacterium. Its description in RNAcentral is "partial 16S ribosomal RNA". It matches the Rfam family "Bacterial small subunit ribosomal RNA", at positions 28 to 506 of the family's 1533-position model. The record is from RNAcentral.
GACGAACGCUGGCGGCGUGCUUAACACAUGCAAGUCGAACGGAAAGGCCCUGCUUUUGUGGGGUGCUCGAGUGGCGAACGGGUGAGUAACACGUGAGUAACCUGCCCUUGACUUUGGGAUAACUUCAGGAAACUGGGGCUAAUACCGGAUAGGAGCUCCUGCUGCAUGGUGGGGGUUGGAAAGUUUCGGCGGUUGGGGAUGGACUCGCGGCUUAUCAGCUUGUUGGUGGGGUAGUGGCUUACCAAGGCUUUGACGGGUAGCCGGCCUGAGAGGGUGACCGGCACCUUGGGGACUGGGAUACGGCCCAAACUCCUGGGGGGGGCAGGGGGGGGGAAUUUUGCACAAGGGGGGGAAGCCGGAGGCAGAAACGCCGGGGGGGGGAUGGCGGCCUUGGGGUUGAAACCCGCUUUCGCCUGGGACGAAGGGGGAGGGAGGGUAAGGGGUAAAGAAGCACCGGCUAACUCCGU